Molecule: small RNA, 531 nt
Filed under: Candida tropicalis
Lineage: Eukaryota; Fungi; Ascomycota; Pichiomycetes; Serinales; Debaryomycetaceae
Description: eukaryotic LSU rRNA
Rfam family: 5.8S ribosomal RNA (bases 170-323)
Source: RNAcentral
UCCGUAGGUGAACCUGCGGAAGGAUCAUUACUGAUUUGCUUAAUUGCACCACAUGUGUUUUUUAUUGAACAAAUUUCUUUGGUGGCGGGAGCAAUCCUACCGCCAGAGGUUAUAACUAAACCAAACUUUUUAUUUACAGUCAAACUUGAUUUAUUAUUACAAUAGUCAAAACUUUCAACAACGGAUCUCUUGGUUCUCGCAUCGAUGAAGAACGCAGCGAAAUGCGAUACGUAAUAUGAAUUGCAGAUAUUCGUGAAUCAUCGAAUCUUUGAACGCACAUUGCGCCCUUUGGUAUUCCAAAGGGCAUGCCUGUUUGAGCGUCAUUUCUCCCUCAAACCCCCGGGUUUGGUGUUGAGCAAUACGCUAGGUUUGUUUGAAAGAAUUUAACGUGGAAACUUAUUUUAAGCGACUUAGGUUUAUCCAAAAACGCUUAUUUUGCUAGUGGCCACCACAAUUUAUUUCAUAACUUUGACCUCAAAUCAGGUAGGACUACCCGCUGAACUUAAGCAUAUCAAUAAGCGGAGGAAAAGA